GGAAAAGAAUGCUAAGACGGAUCUUCAGAAAUGCUGGCUGGGAAGCACACGGGGACUGAGCACAGAGGGAAGGAACCAAGAGACAGGGACACAUCCAGGCACAGAGCUCAAGAAAAAAAAAUAAACAAUAUGAGGGAAACUAGCAUAUGGAAGGCCUUUCUCUGCACCAAAUCCCGCCUCAGAGGAUCAAGGAGAACUCUUGAGGGAUGAGCAUGAAUUUGAGACAACAAGAGUGUUUACCUCAUGGAGUUAAUACAGCAGAAGUGCCUGGCACACUAUACACACAUGAUGGCCAUUGAUACAAGUAAAAAGAAGUGCUUAUUAUUUUUUGCUUGUUCAUGGAUAAAAAAACAUCUCAGGAGAGACAUGAGAAAUUGGUACCAGGCUGCCUGCCAGGAAAGACCUGGGUAUGGGGGGUACUUUACUACACAGCCCUCUGUACUUUUUGAGUGUUGAACUGUGUGAAUAUAUUAACAUUCAAAACAAAUGAAACAUGUAAAACUUAAAAUUAAAAGAAAGGAUGGCUUCACUAGAAUUUUCAACAGACGGGUGUGACACAGAGCCGCUUCUGGAAGCAGAAGGGACUUACACGA
Molecule: long non-coding RNA, 593 nt
Organism: Pongo pygmaeus (Bornean orangutan)
Lineage: Eukaryota; Metazoa; Chordata; Mammalia; Primates; Hominidae
Exons: 3
Source: RefSeq, a predicted model, not a curated record